CGAGGUCUAGAAGUUGAUAGUAUUGAGAAUUGUCUACUGGAUGAACUGGAUUGUUUUCUCAAACCAAUGAAAGUCAAUAUAUAUAUAUAUAUAUAUAUAUAUAUAUUUUUAUUAUAAUGAAAGACUAUUCAUCAUGCAAAUUUGUAUGUUUUCACUUUGCAAACCACACUAGUGAGAUUCUAAGACAAGCUGUUUCAAGACAUCUCAUGUCGUGUCUCUAGCUCUAUAAUGAUGAAGCAUCUGACUAGCUUUUGUAUUGUUUAUGUUUUGAUGUUAUUGUGGGAAAAGAGCAUCAAACUAAACAUCUGAACGUAACGUUUUCGAUCCACACAACUCCUUCCUUGAAGCCAAGGCCAACUCCUUAAGUCUCGCUCUCACUGCUUCUGGCGAAAGAUCAGGCUCAGGAUGACCUCUCACAAAAUGUCAAAGAACUCUUGAUCGUAUAAUCUUGAUUUCUUAGUGUUUAGGUUCCAUGUUGGUUCCUUUAUAUAGAGGUUACAACUUAAGCAUGAAGUUAACCUAAUACAUUAAUCAAAACCAACUAAGCUAAGCCCAUGAGGCCCAAUACCCCCCCUCAAGGUGGAGUGUGGAGGUUACAAACACCCAGCUUGACAAGAAAAUCUUCGAAUUGUUGUCUUCCCAAAGCCUUCGUCAUAAUGUCUGCGAGUUGACUAGUGGUGGAAACGUGUUUUGUAGCGAUGACACCUCGAAUAAUCUCAUCCCUGACAAAAUGAACAUCCCGAGCGACAUGUUUGGUUCGAGCAUGGAACACCGGAUUCGCAGCAAGCAUAAUCGCAGAUAAACUGUCGGAAUGAAGAGUAAUGGGAGCAGUAACCUCAAUACCAAGCGUUGGUAGUAGUUCACGGAUCUAGAGUAGUUCACUUACGGUGUCGGCCAUGGCUCUAUAUUCUGCUUCGGCCGAUGAACGCGAUACGACGUCGUGUUUUUUCGUUUUCCAAGACAAUGGUGAGUCGCCUAGUUGUAUAAACCAGCCGGUGAGAGAACGACUAGUGAUAGGACAAGCACCAUGAUCGGAGUCACACCAAGCAUUUAAAGUCAAAGACGUGUUGGCCCGAAGUAGUAUACCUUGACCGGGGCUAUUCUUUAAAUAACGAACAACGCGUAGAGCAGCAUUCCAAUGAGCUUGUUGUGGAUUAUUCAUGAAUUGAGAUAAGAUGUGAAUGGCAUAUGACAUCUCUGGUCUUGUAUUCCCCAAGUAUAUGAGCCUACCAACAAGACGGCGGUAACGAGAAGGAUCAUGAAAAGCGUCGUCCUUUGCAAGAGACAACUUGUGAUUUUGCUCCAAAGGGAAAGUGAUAGGCUUGACGCCCAUGAGACCCGUUUCUGCGAUAAUGUCGAGAGCGUAUUUGCGUUGACACAAGUAGAUCCCUUCAGGGCUGCGAGCUACUUCAAUUCCCAAAAAAUACCUUAAGGGUCCAAGAUUUUUCAUGUGAAAACAUGUGCUUAAGUAAUGCUUGAACUUGUUAACAACGUGAAUUGAGCUGCCCGUGAUUAUCAAAUCAUCGACGUAUACAAGGACAUGAAGACGAGUAUCACCUUUUUCGAGAGUGAAUAAGGAGUAAUCGGAGUAAUUUUGCUCAAAACCGUAUGUUUUCAUAGCACCACCAAGCUUGGCAAACCAGCAACGUGGAGCUUGUUUCAAACCGUAGAGUGACUUGCGUAGACGACACACUUUCUUAUUAUCAUCUGUGCGAAAACCCGGAGGAAAUGUCAUGUAAACUUCCUCGUCUAAGUCACCGUGAAGAAACGCGUUAUGCACAUCCAUUUGAUGAACUUCCCAAUCAAGAGACGCAACUUGUUGUAAGAAAGCUCUAACUGUAAUCAUUUUGGCGACGGGCGCGAAGGUUUCUUCGUAAUCGAUGCCUUCUUUUUGAUUGUUUCCUAGGACCACUAGUCGAGCUUUGUGACGUUAAAGAGAACCAUCGGCAUUGAAUUUUAAUCUGAAAACCCAUUUGCAGCCAAUUGGUUUCUUUCCAUGUGGAAGAUCCUCUACAGUCCAAGUACCAUUCUCUUCUAAUGCUUCGAUUUCAUCUUUCACGGCGUAUCUCCAAUUUUCAUCUGCAAUGGCGUCUUGAUAUGUUUUUGGUUCAUGACUUGAAGUGAUAGCAAGUACAAAAGCUUGAUAUUUUUCUGAAAAUUGCGAACUGGAUAGGUAAUUGUCGAUUGGAUACGGCGUGGCGGACGGAGAAGGAGUGUAAACAAGAGAAGUCACGUAAUCGGCAAGCUUCGCUGGUGGUUGUUUCUUACGAUACCCGAAACCAAGUUUCUCUGGCUCGGAGACAGUUUCCUCAUCACUAGAGGUCAAUGGCGUGAUGUUUGUGGCUGUUACAUCAUCAUCGGAAGUAGCAUGAUCAACCGGAGAUGUGGAUGUAACAGGGGUUAUGUCUGUGAUUACGGCUGCAGGUGACGGAGUAGAUGAUGCAGAGGUCGGAGUAGGCGAAACAGAGUCGUGUUCUGGAGGCUGCGACGACCCAUUUUCCCGAGGAGAUGGUGAAAUGUCAGUGGCUGGUGCAUCAAAUUGAUCAACAUCAAGAUCGUCAUUAUCUUGAAGCAAAACUAUGUUGUCAUUACUUAAGCUCGGGGAAGAAGACAAUGACGUGUUCAGCUCGAUAGUAUAAGGAAACACAGAUUCGCGAAAAAUAACAUCGCGGGAAACUGUCACCACUCCAGUUUCAAUGUUAUAAACCCGCCAGCCCUUUUUUCUAAAUGGAUAGCCUAGAAAAACAGCUUUGGUACUCCGCGGUGCAAAUUUAUCACCUCCAUGUUUCUGGUUAUGGACGUAGCAUAGACAACCGAAAACGCGAAUAUGAUUCAUUGGUGGAGGACGUUUAUAUAUCAGUUCAAAAGGACUUUUCCCGUCAAGUAUUUGAGUCGGAGUACGAUUAAUUAGAUAACAAGCUGUCAAGGCGCAAUAACUCCACAAUUCAAUUGGAAGAUUGGCUUGAAAACGGAGAGCUCUAGCUACGUUUAAGAUAUGGCGAUGCUUCCUUUCAACGCGUCCAUUUUGUUGCGGAGUACUAACACAAGAUGUUUCGUGUAUGAUCCCGUGUUCAGCAAAAUAAUCCUUUAAGCAAAUAAAUUCGGAUCCAUUGUCACUCCGAACAAUCUUAACUUGAGCAACGAAUUGUCGUGCAACGAGAGUUAUAAAAUCCUUGAGUCGCAAAGGUGCUUCUUGUUUUGAAGGAAGUAAAUAAAUCCAAACAGCUCUCGAAUAAUCAUCAAGUAUUGUUAGAAAAUAUCGAGAACCGCAAAUAGAAGGAGUGCGGUAAGGACCCCAAAGAUCGCAGUGAAUAAGUUCAAAAGCAACACUCGUCUUAUUAUAACUCAAAGGAAAAGAUUCUCUGGUCUGUUUAGCGCUAAUACAAACGUCACAAGCCGUUGAAUCAAACUUAGUACUAAAAUCCAAAAACUUAAUCAUAUCCAAAGCCUUAGAGGAAGGAUGUCCCAAACGUGAGUGCCAUAAUUCCAUAGAUGACGAAUCCACUGAAUGAAUGGCUGCAGCAACUUCCACUCCUCUUAAAAAAUAAAGACCGUUCUCUUGUUCACCUGCGCCAAUCAGGGUCUUGGUGAUGCGAUCCUGAAUAAUACAAAGCCGAUCAGUAAUCUGAAAUACGCAAUGACGUUCUCUAGUCAACUGUGAAACUGAGAUGAGAUGGCACUUCAGCCCAUCAACAAAAAAUACGUCCUGAAGACACAACGUGGAACCAAGCGAGACACAACCCUGUUUAUUGGCCAUAGUGUAACGACCGUCGGGUAGUUUGAUAAGAACAGGAGCCAUAUCGCGAACAUCAAGUAAGAACUCAAGAGUGCCUGUCAUGUGAUUAGAAGCACCAGUAUCUAUAAUCCAUGAUUCAAUGAAGUACUUACCCGAAAGGUUAUUGGUGUUGUUGAGUUUCCGGUUUGCAAGUGUCUGCACUAAUGAGUCCCAUUCUUCAUUACUCAAACCAAUGAUUCCAACACGGUCUGCAGCAGUUAACGGAGAUGUGGAUGUAGAGGGAGCUGACGCUGUGUUCAAGCUAGCCGAGACAUGAUUUACUUGACUAGUCGUGGAGCUUUUUGAACCCACCGAUGUUGUUGUUAUUCCACGACUAGCACCGGUUGAUUUUCCAGACCUGUUUCGAGUAUUUGUCUUGGCAUUUUCAAUCCACCAGUCCGGGUAACCAAUCUUACGGAAGCAGUUGUCGGCGAUGUGGCCGGUGCGACCGCAGAUGGUACACGAAACAGAGCCUCCUCUGUUUUCAAACGCAGUGCGUGGUGUAGUUGUUUGAAUAACAAAGCUGACUCCAUCGGCUCUUUCUUCAUGAUUAUUAUUCACGUUUUUGGAUUCUUCAUCAAGACAGAGAGCAUUAUAUGCGUCUUCAAGACUCGGGAGAGGAAUGCGUGAGAGUAAGUUAGAUUUUACGGCUCCAUAAAGAUUGUCGUCGAGACCCAUAAGGAACUGAUGUAAUUUAUCUUCCUCACGCUCCUUGCGAACCUCUUCCAUUGUCUUAGCUUUCUGAUAAUCUGCGAGACUGCCCCACAGCUGAGUUAACUUGCCAUAAUAAGCUUCAAUAGCAAGUCUUUUUUGUCUACAGUUGGCGAGCUCUGUCUUCAACCUUUGGACUCUUUGUCCAUUUUUCACUCCAAAUCUCUUCUGAAUAUGUAUCCAGAGUUCGUGAGAAUCAUUGAUGUGAGAGAUAGAGGAUGAAAGUUUUUCUUCAAUCGUGAGUUUAAUACACGACACCACUAAAGCGUUAUUGGCGAUCCAGUCUUCAAAAUCAACGUCGUCUUCCGGUGGCUGAGGUAUAGUACCGUCGACGAAGCCGAAUUUCUUUCUUGCUUUUAGAGACAAGCGAAGGUUGUUGGCCCAUUCAUCAUAGUUAGGACCGCGUAGCAAAGGCUUGGAGAUCAAGGUGCCGGGAUUGUCUCCUGAGGUUAUAUCAUAUGGCGAUAUCCUUCUUCUAGUCUCAACUCUUGGCUGUGCUAAAACGGAUGUUAAAGCAGAAGAGGAAGAAGAUGAAGUAGAAGAUGAUGUAGCCAUAAGAAGAUUUCGAUGUAGAGAGUAUCGAAAUUUAGGUCAAAGAAAUUAGAAACAGAAAAAAUUGAGUGUUUAAGCGGAAGUUUUAGAUCUUUAGAUCGAGCAAAACCCUUUUGUAUUUAGGUUUCCGGCUCUGAUACCAUGUCAAAGAACUCUUGAUCGUAUAAUCUUGAUUUCUUAGUGUUUAGGUUCCAUGUUGGUUCCUUUAUAUAGAGGUUACAACUUAAGCAUGAAGUUAACCUAAUACAUUAAUCAAAACCAACUAAGCUAAGCCCAUGAGGCCCAAUACAAAAUCGUCGCUUCCAUAUUCCAAUUCCUCAGAUUCAACCUUCUUAAAGCCCAUGUUUCCAAGCCGGCGGAUGAACGGUGCCAUCUCCUUAUAAUGUGAGAAUCUUGGAAGAACAUCUCUACAAAACUCAGAUUCAUUCCAAAUGAUGAAACUGUUCCCGUUAUUGCUCCAUGAAACUAUUGAAUUCGUUGAAGGAUCAUCCACAAUCUUAUAUAACUUUUUGCGGAAAUAACGGCAUCUAUCUUUGCCAUUAUUUUCACGAUCCAUUCCCUAAACGCUCGAGAUCACCCUAAAACCAAAACACACCGACGAGACAGAAAUUAACUAAUCAAAAUUAUAAGCAACAAGACAGAAAUAAUUAGACGAGAAUCAUAUAACUUAUAGAGGGGAAAAAAAGGGAUAUGAUUAUCGAGAUCCAAACCUCGCGAUUGUUUAUUGUUUGUGCCUCUAAAACCAAACCUAGGA
Molecule: long non-coding RNA, 5792 nt
Filed under: Arabidopsis lyrata
Lineage: Eukaryota; Viridiplantae; Streptophyta; Magnoliopsida; Brassicales; Brassicaceae
Description: long non-coding RNA (ALYR_LNC000637)
Source: RNAcentral